AAAAACGACUCUCGGCAACGGAUAUCUCGGCUCACGCAUCGAUGAAGAACGUAGCAAAAUGCGAUACUUGGUGUGAAUUGCAGAAUCCCGUGAAUCAUCGAGUUUUUGAACGCAAGUUGCGCCCAAAACCAUCCGGUUGAGGGCACGCCUGCCUGGCCGUC
This 161-nucleotide ribosomal RNA is filed under the name Crepidiastrum linguifolium. RNAcentral's name for it is "Crepidiastrum linguaefolium 5.8S rRNA". It matches the Rfam family "5.8S ribosomal RNA". From Rfam's summary of the family: 5.8S ribosomal RNA (5.8S rRNA) is a component of the large subunit of the eukaryotic ribosome. Lineage: Eukaryota; Viridiplantae; Streptophyta; Magnoliopsida; Asterales; Asteraceae. The record is from RNAcentral.